AAUUCUCAACCUUUCCAGCUUUUGCAAGUUGGAUUGGCUUGGAUGUGGAGGGUUUUGCGGGCUUCUCAGAAGUCGGCUCCUCUUAAAUGCAUUAGCAGAACCUUUGUGGACCAGCUUUGGUGUGAUAAUUAUCUAUGCCAUUGUUGUAAAGCAGCUUUUAUAUGGGGUUCAGCUUCUAAUAGUCCAUUGACUUGGACAAUUUCUGACA
RNAcentral lists this unclassified non-coding RNA (208 nucleotides) under Lepista saeva. RNAcentral's name for it is "partial internal transcribed spacer 2". Lineage: Eukaryota; Fungi; Basidiomycota; Agaricomycetes; Agaricales; Clitocybaceae. The record is from RNAcentral.